GCUGUAGGACACCUAUCGGAAGACUGCAAUCUCUCCUCACCCUCAUCUCUGUGCUCGUCACAGAGAUGAGAGCA
Molecule: small RNA, 74 nt
Filed under: Sinorhizobium meliloti 2011
Lineage: Bacteria; Pseudomonadati; Pseudomonadota; Alphaproteobacteria; Hyphomicrobiales; Rhizobiaceae
Description: putative ncRNA
Source: RNAcentral